This 468-nucleotide ribosomal RNA is filed under the name uncultured bacterium. Its description in RNAcentral is "partial 16S ribosomal RNA". It matches the Rfam family "Bacterial small subunit ribosomal RNA", at positions 28 to 507 of the family's 1533-position model. The record is from RNAcentral.
GACGAACGCUGGCGGCGUGCUUAGCACAUGCAAGUCGAACGGAAAGGCCCUGCUUUUGUGGGGUGCUCGAGUGGCGAACGGGUGAGUAACACGUGAGUAACCUGCCCUUGACUUUGGGAUAACUUCAGGAAACUGGGGCUAAUACCGGAUAGGAGCUCCUGCUGCAUGGUGGGGGUUGGAAAGUUUCGGCGGUUGGGGAUGGACUCGCGGCUUAUCAGCUUGUUGGUGGGGUAGUGGCUUACCAAGGCUUUGACGGGUAGCCGGCCUGAGAGGGUGACCGGCCACAUUGGGACUGAGAUACGGCCCAGACUCCUACGGGAGGCAGCAGUGGGGAAUGUUGCACAAUGGGCGGAAGCCUGAUGCAGCAACGCCGCGUGCGGGAUGACGGCCUUCGGGUUGUAAACCGCUUUCGCCUGUGACGAAGCGUGAGUGACGGUAAUGGGUAAAGAAGCACCGGCUAACUACGUG